GCAGGCAUUGUGGAGAACCUAGAGUUUGUUCAAACGUCAAAGACUCCCAGAUCAUCCACUGUAUCUCAGGUCACCACCAAUCACCCUGACUUUUGUCUUGCCACUGGACUUUGAUGACUGAGAGUGAGGCUGAUAGUUUUAUGGAUCUCUGACUCACUUAAAUCCUAUUCACCUGAACGUCAAGAUGUCACUCCAUGAUGUUAGUGGUCCUCUUUGAAAACUAAGGGAAAAUGACAAACAACAACCUUUUUGCCAAACUGGCUUGCUUGCUGUUUCCUGUCAGUGUCCCACCAUCUCGCAUCUUCCUGCUUUUUCAGAGAUGAAUUCUGCCUAAUCACACUUCUCACAUCUUGAACUUAUGAAGUUGAUUUUUUGAAUCUCAACAUUUCCAACUUUUUCAACUGAUCUUUCUAUUGCUGGUCUGGAGACAUUUGGGGGCUGACCCUAGGAGCUUUUGUACCAUGCUUCUGGCUCAUUACAGCAGCCCUCCCCCUAUGAGGGGUGAUGGAUUUACCCUGUUGCCUGGAGACCGGAUUCAAACAGAGACCCAGAGAGAGCACCUGGGCGCUGGCUCUGGAGGGGUUAAGAACGAGUCCUGGAGCGGAUAACGGAGCUGAAUAACCCCAACAAAGUGAAGCCUCAGCUCGAGCUGGAGGGAGAUGACAGGAAGAAGAAGGCAGCAUCUGCGGACCCUUUCCCCAGGCAGGACUUACCUUCUGCCCCAGUGCUCAGGCUGCCUCCUGCUGGAUUAAUAUUUCUCAACAUAUAAUUAAAUUUGUUUUUGUGAUUAAUCACUAUGUUUAAAUUAUGUUUGAUUUGUAGCAAUGAGAAUACAUAAUGCAUAUCAGAUAUUUACAUUCUUAAUCAUAACUGUAUCAAAAUUACAGUUUUGAAGUAGCCACCAAAAUAAUUUUUUGGUUUGGGUUCACUGCAGCAUGAGGAACUAUAUUUCAGGGUCAUGGCAUUAAAAAGGUUGAGAACCACUGCUCUAGAUCAUCCCCUAAACCCCUAACCUCAAUGAAAUUGCCUCAUUUCUAAUUCCCCUUUUUCUUGUCCAGUAACCCCUCUGUGAAAGGGGCAUAAAAUCCCCUUACCCCAU
This 1099-nucleotide long non-coding RNA is filed under the name Monodelphis domestica (gray short-tailed opossum). RNAcentral describes it as "lncRNA (ENSMODG00000033810.2)". The record is from RNAcentral. Lineage: Eukaryota; Metazoa; Chordata; Mammalia; Didelphimorphia; Didelphidae.